GAUGGACGCUGGCGGCGUGCUUAACACAUGCAAGUCGAACGAGUUUUAUCACUACGAUCCCUUCGGGGUGACGGUUUUAAAACGAGUGGCGGACGGGUGAGUAACGCGUGGAUAACCUGCCAUACACUGGGGGAUAACAGCUGGAAACAGCUGCUAAUACCGCAUAAAACUGUAGAGUCGCAUGACUUUAUAGCCAAAGCUCCGGCGGUGUAUGAUGGAUCCGCGUCUGAUUAGGCAGUUGGUGGGGUAACGGCCCACCAAGGCGACGAUCAGUAGCCGGCCUGAGAGGGUGAACGGCCACAUUGGGACUGAGACACGGCCCAAACUCCUACGGGAGGCAGCAGUGGGGGAUAUUGCACAAUGGGGGAAACCCUGAUGCAGCGACGCCGCGUGAGUGAAGAAGUAUUCGGUAUGUAAAGCUCUAUCAGCAGGAAAGAUAAUGACGGUACCUGACUAAGAAGCACCGGCUAAAUACGUG
Molecule: ribosomal RNA, 478 nt
Filed under: uncultured bacterium
Lineage: Bacteria
Description: bacterial SSU rRNA
Rfam family: Bacterial small subunit ribosomal RNA
Source: RNAcentral